UCAAAGAGAGAAAGUCCGGUGUAUAAGUGUGUGUGUGGGAAGAGAGAAAGUAUGAAAUUCGAAAAUGAAAGUCGUCCUCUCACUGACCUAAUUCUCUUGAUUUCACUGCUUCCCGUUGCGCGCGCGCCCUCCCGCAAAAGGGGUCAUCGGUCGGACGGUCCGAAGAGGGGGUGACCAGAGGCGAUCCGUCCAUUCGUCCCAGGCAUACGGAGAAUUAUGCAAUGUUGUGUUGGUACGAGUCGGAACGAGUGAAAGUUGCGUUGAAAGGAAGCGGUCGGAUUUUGACUGAAAACGACGGACAUACUGACCAACACAGCUAAUUGUUCGAGGGAGGGAUGCGGGAUGAUGAUGAUGAAGGGGAAA
Non-coding RNA from Caenorhabditis elegans, 363 nucleotides. Lineage: Eukaryota; Metazoa; Nematoda; Chromadorea; Rhabditida; Rhabditidae. The record is from Ensembl.